ACUGGUAAGCAUUGUCGGAGAUGGAGAAAAUGUGGGGAGGAGCUUCGGUCCUCUUUUUUCCUCUGUAGGCGGCCACCACCUCAGCGUCGUAAACGGGAAGCCACUUGUACGGGUUGACGGUAACGCAGAAGAGGCCGGAGUAGGUGUAGAUCAUCCAGGCGGCGUAGCGCUCCUUCAGGUUAAACAGCACCGCCGGCUCAUGGAGGAAGCAUUCCGUCUUGAUGUCGAAAGGCCUGGUCUGAGCUUCCAGACGCUCCUUCUCCGACUUCCUGAGGUAUGGCGCCGCGUUCCCAAACUCGCCCAUCGUUGCGUCAGACAUUUUGAGUACAAAGAGACUGAAGCUAAACUGUGACGCCGGGACGAGAGGACACGCUUUUAAAGGCGCCCGCAACACCAAACAAGGAGAUGAGGCAGGAAAAAGGAGAAAAAAUGGACGCUAAAUUUGUCAGUGGAGACGCGACAAGGUCACAGCGGUGACCUUGGACUGUCAGGAGGCCAUAUUAGGAAGAUCACAAACGCUCCUUAUCAAUGUCACCUUGCAGUCCUCUGCUUCUUUUAGAACACAUCAGACCCAGUAGGCUACAUCCGUGACGCCCCUCACAUACGUGUGAUGGUAACAAAUAAAACAACAAAAGAUAACUUAAGUGUUUUGGUCUCAAUUUGAAUGUUAGAUUGUGUGCAUGUGUCUGUUAAUGUGCGCAUGUGUGUGUGUGUGUGUGUGUGUGUGUUGGCCCAAGAAAGUGAGAUGUAUAUGUGCCUGUUAUCAGUGUUACUUAGUGUCUGUUUUUAUCUUAGAGACACUUUUAUUUUAGAAGUGCAUGUGUGUGCGUGUUUGUGGUGACAAUAAAAAGAUGACUAGCUUGUU
Phyllopteryx taeniolatus (common seadragon) is the source of this 865-nucleotide long non-coding RNA. RefSeq lists it as uncharacterized. The record is from RefSeq and is a predicted model, not a curated record. Lineage: Eukaryota; Metazoa; Chordata; Actinopteri; Syngnathiformes; Syngnathidae. The transcript is spliced from 2 exons.